Molecule: ribosomal RNA, 221 nt
Filed under: Philomidinae gen. n. sp. D0903
Lineage: Eukaryota; Metazoa; Arthropoda; Insecta; Hymenoptera; Perilampidae
Description: partial 28S ribosomal RNA
Rfam family: Eukaryotic large subunit ribosomal RNA
Source: RNAcentral
UUUCCCUCAGGAUAGCUGGCACUCGCUUGAGCGAGUCUCAUCUGGUAAAGCGAAUGAUUAGAGGCCUUGGGGCCGAAACGACCUCAACCUAUUCUCAAACUUUAAAUGGGUGAGAUCUCUGGCUUGCUUGAACGUUGAAGCCACGAGAUUAAAUAUUUUUUUUUCAAUGGAUCAGAGUGCCAAGUGGGCCAAUUUUGGUAAGCAGAACUGGCGCUGUGGGA